AUUGAACGCUGGCGGCAGGCUUAACACAUGCAAGUCGAGCGGGGGAAGGUAGCUUGCUACCGGACCUAGCGGCGGACGGGUGAGUAAUGCUUAGGAAUCUGCCUAUUAGUGGGGGACAACAUCUCGAAAGGGAUGCUAAUACCGCAUACGUCCUACGGGAGAAAGCAGGGGAUCUUCGGACCUUGCGCUAAUAGAUGAGCCUAAGUCGGAUUAGCUAGUUGGUGGGGUAAAGGCCUACCAACGCGACGAUCUGUAGCGGGUCUGAGAGGAUGAUCCGCCACACUGGGACUGAGACACGGCCCAGACUCCUACGGGAGGCAGCAGUGGGGAAUAUUGGACAAUGGGGGGAACCCUGAUCCAGCCAUGCCGCGUGUGUGAAGAAGGCCUUAUGGUUGUAAAGCACUUUAAGCGAGGAGGAGGCUACUUUAGUUAAUACCUAGAGAUAGUGGACGUUACUCGCAGAAUAAGCACCGGCUAACUCUGUG
RNAcentral lists this ribosomal RNA (485 nucleotides) under uncultured bacterium. RNAcentral describes it as "partial 16S ribosomal RNA". It matches the Rfam family "Bacterial small subunit ribosomal RNA", at positions 30 to 507 of the family's 1533-position model. The record is from RNAcentral.